GGCUGGUUGGUGAAGUGGCCUAACACACUGGUUUUAGGCACCAGGAUUCCUGGGUUCGAAUCCCAGACUAGUCA
Molecule: non-coding RNA, 74 nt
Organism: Mycosarcoma maydis (corn smut)
Lineage: Eukaryota; Fungi; Basidiomycota; Ustilaginomycetes; Ustilaginales
Source: the annotation of a RefSeq genome assembly